RNAcentral lists this ribosomal RNA (253 nucleotides) under uncultured bacterium. RNAcentral's name for it is "partial 16S ribosomal RNA". It matches the Rfam family "Bacterial small subunit ribosomal RNA", at positions 524 to 776 of the family's 1533-position model. The record is from RNAcentral.
UACGGAGGAUGCAAGCGUUAUCCGGAAUGAUUGGGCGUAAAGGGUCCGCAGGUGGCUGUGUAAGUCUGCUGUCAAAGAAUGAGGCUUAACCUUAUCAAGGCAGUGGAAACUACACAGCUAGAGUACGGUCGGGGUAGAAGGAAUUCCUGGUGUAGCGGUGAAAUGCGUAGAGAUCAGGAAGAACACCGGUGGCGAAAGCGUUCUGCUAGACCUGUACUGACACUGAGGGACGAAAGCUAGGGGAGCGAAUGGG